This 502-nucleotide ribosomal RNA is filed under the name uncultured bacterium. Its description in RNAcentral is "partial 16S ribosomal RNA". It matches the Rfam family "Bacterial small subunit ribosomal RNA", at positions 28 to 507 of the family's 1533-position model. The record is from RNAcentral.
GACGAACGCUGGCGGCGUGCUUAACACAUGCAAGUCGAACGGUGAAGGGGUCUGCUUUUGUGGGCCCUGGAUGAGUGGCGAACGGGUGAGUAACACGUGAGUAACCUGCCCCCUUCUUCUGGAUAACCGCAUGAAAGUGUGGCUAAUACGGGAUAUUCUGGGUCUGUCGCAUGAUGGGUCUGGGAAAGAUUGCGCCUUUGGGUGUUUUUGGUGGGGGAUGGGCUCGCGGCCUAUCAGCUUGUUGGUGGGGUGAUGGCCUACCAAGGCGGUGACGGGUAGCCGGCCUGAGAGGGUGGACGGUCACACUGGGACUGAGACACGGCCCAGACUCCUACGGGAGGCAGCAGUGGGGAAUAUUGCACAAUGGGCGCAAGCCUGAUGCAGCGACGCCGCGUGAGGGAGGGAGGCCUUCGGGGUGUAAACCUCUUUCGCCAGUGAAGCAGGCCUGCUCCUUGUGGGUGGGUUGACGGUAGCUGGAUAAGAAGCGCCGGCUAACUACGUG